GAUACAGCCUGUGGAAAAGACACAGUCUAAAACAUUUACGGCGCAAUCAAAGCUCCGGUAAUGUACAGAUAGUAACACCUGUUCCAGGCACAGAUCUAGUACGGCUGUGCGGUGGAAGCAUCAUUACACGCAAUGUUGUGAUGACUGCAGCACAUUGUUUUCCUGAGACGUCCUUACAAGAAAAAAUAUCUAUCUUUUACAAUUCCACAAAGACAAGGGCUGGGCCGAAAGAUUAUGUGGUCCGCAUCAUUAUGCAUCCCAAAUUCAAUAAACGCCAUGCCGUGAAAUAUGACAUCGCACUGUUGAAGGUUCGAAAUAAUUUUAUGUUUGAUAGAUUUGUUCGACCAAUAUGCCUUCCCGAGAAAGAUAUUAUUGUGGGAAAAAAAAACAUUAUUAGCAGCCGGCUGGGGAAGUAUUAAUUCUAGUA
Non-coding RNA from Dermacentor albipictus, 427 nucleotides. The record is from RefSeq and is a predicted model, not a curated record. NCBI's taxonomy places the organism in Eukaryota, Metazoa, Arthropoda, Arachnida, Ixodida, Ixodidae.